Helianthus annuus (common sunflower) is the source of this 1443-nucleotide long non-coding RNA. RefSeq lists it as uncharacterized. NCBI's taxonomy places the organism in Eukaryota, Viridiplantae, Streptophyta, Magnoliopsida, Asterales, Asteraceae. The transcript has 4 exons. The record is from RefSeq and is a predicted model, not a curated record.
CAGUAGAUGAGGAGUUGUUUGUAAUUUCAUUUUAUAAUCGGGUUUAGCCACGCAUCCAAAAACCCCCUUAAAACCCACCGCCCCUUCCUCAUUCCACUGCCUGCUUCCCUCCUGUCACCAGUUCAACCGUUUUCCUCUCUCAUAUGAAAACCCUCUGGUUAGAAUCCAGUAGCGACGCAACAUGAACAGCCCAGAUCAACACAGCCUUGAGAGGUUACGGUUUUGUAUGGGAUUACGACGGCUAGAAGUCGGUGGAUUCCGACAAAUUCCGGUUAGCUCCGGUGAGAACCGGGUGACCUGAACCAGGUAUCAAGAAUUAUCAUCUUUGUAUUAUUUUGGAAAUUUUUAUAUGAUUUGGGUUGAUUUUGUUAAUCUUUCUUCUCCACUUGGCCCUUAUUUACGGAGAAUCACCAAUUCUUGAUGAACAUUAGGAUUCAGGCACCAUGCACCCUUCUUCUUCUCCAAUAUUCCAUUAUAAAACCCCUCUCUGAGGAGGAGGCAGAUCAUCGUUUAGUUGCGUGCUCUUUUGCUCGGUCCGUUUGGUGAAGCGUUUUGGUUUGGGUUUAGCUUCCAAUCCCUAGGGCCUUCGAAUCAGAUUCUACAGCAUAUGCAGAACUAUGGCAGCGAUGGCUUAAGAAAAAAAGGAGUGCAGUCUAUUGCUUUUCUCACGCUAUGGAAAAUUUGGACGUGCCGUACCGAAUUUUUUUUAACAAUAGAUGCACCAUUCUGAGAAACGUCGUGGAAGAUAUAAAAGACAAUAGCUUCUGGUGGGUGAAGAAGAGAUCAAAAAUGGCUGGGCUGAAUAAAGAGAACUGGAGCAAAUUCGAGUUGGAUAAUGUGUGCAAGUAUAUCAUACAUGUAUGUUCCUUUAAACUCCAGCUCUAUCGGUUUUCUAUGCCAAGUUCCAAAAUCCUAGGUCUCGGAAACGAUGACAAGUUUUGGCGAUGGAUGUUCAGACUUCAUAAGUAGGUGUGAUUCAUGAGGUUAAAGGCGAUGGCAGCAGAGCCAACUCCUGCGGCGCGAUUAAGAUUUUGCCGCGAACCCUAACGGCGAUGGUGGUUGCGUUUACACAAGCUUGAACGGUGGCGGCGACCACCACAGCGGUUGGAUCCAAAACUCGCUGAAUAAAGCUGGUCCAAUGAGAAUUUCGGCAGCGUGGUUAUGCAUGCAAGCCCGUUCUAACAUGGAUCAAAAUAUAUUUUGUUUGAGGGCUUGAGGUAGUUUUAAUGCAGCCUGGUUAUUUCUCCCAAGGACUAGCUGAAAAGACUAAUGAUAAUUAUGACAACGAUAAAUCCGUACCAGUUAAAAAUAUUUACUAGAACAGCCCCGUUUUUUCAGGGUAUUUGCAAAAAAAAAAAGAACAUUUUUUUGGAGUUUUCAAGUGCCUAUACCGCCACGAAUGAGCCAAACCAAAUCAAACUCCCGCAAACUCCAGGCGCAGCG